UACGUAGGGGGCGAGCGUUGUCCGGAAUCAUUGGGCGUAAAGCGCGUGUAGGCGGCUUGCCAAGUCCGGUGUGAAAUCUCGGGGCUCAACCCCGAAACUGCACUGGAAACUGGUUGGCUAGAGUCCGGAAGAGGAGAAUGGAAUUCCUGGUGUAGCGGUGAAAUGCGCAGAUAUCAGGAAGAACACCGGUGGCGAAGGCGGUUCUCUGGGACGGUACUGACGCUGAGACGCGAAAGCGUGGGGAGCGAACAGG
This 253-nucleotide ribosomal RNA is filed under the name uncultured bacterium. RNAcentral describes it as "partial 16S ribosomal RNA". It matches the Rfam family "Bacterial small subunit ribosomal RNA", at positions 524 to 776 of the family's 1533-position model. The record is from RNAcentral.